GAUGGAAAUUCCAUUCACACCAGGAAAGAACACGACCUCUAUCAUGUCUUUAUCUAAUAAUUUCCAAAUCUAAUAGAAAAUCAAAUAAAAUUAGUUAAACAAAAUCAAAUCAAAAUACAAAAUUGUCAUAACAAAGGCUAAUCGAAUAGAACAUAUGUGUGAAUCAUUAGAGAUGAGAAAUCCAUAUGAUAGUGACGGCUGGAAUUCUAGAGACGACCUAGGGUUUAAGAGAAAAAAGAAAGACGGAAAGAAAGAUAUAACGUCGAACAGAUGAACAAUAGGAUUAACAAUUAGCAAAAGAAGAUUUCUUACCUGAUUCUUGAAGCUU
This 328-nucleotide long non-coding RNA is filed under the name Helianthus annuus (common sunflower). Its description in RNAcentral is "hypothetical non coding rna". Lineage: Eukaryota; Viridiplantae; Streptophyta; Magnoliopsida; Asterales; Asteraceae. The record is from RNAcentral.